GACGAACGCUGGCGGCGCGCCUAACACAUGCAAGUCGAGCGAUGACACUUUAACAUAACCCUUCUGGGCGAAGAUAAAGUGGAUUGGCUGCGGACGGGAGAGUAACACGUUAGUAACCUGACUUAUACAUUGGGAUAGCCUCGGGAACCCGGGAUUAAUACCACAUAAAAUCAUAAUGACACAUGUCAUAACGAUCAAAACUCCUAUGGUCUAGGAUGGACUCUCGUCCCAUUAGCUAGUUGGCAGGGUAAAAGCCUCCCAAGGCGACGCUGGGUAGCCGGGAAGAGAGAGUGGGCGGAGACAUCGAAGCUAGGAAGCAGUCCAGACUCUUACGCGAGGGAGGAGAGGGGGAUAGUGCAACAUGGAGGGAGCUAUGAAGGAGCGACGCCGGGAAAACGAAGAUGGUUGGCGAGACGUAAAGUUCUUUUAUAUGGGAAGGUAAUGACGGUACCAAAAGAAAAAGCCCCGGCUAACUACGUG
RNAcentral lists this ribosomal RNA (480 nucleotides) under uncultured bacterium. RNAcentral's name for it is "partial 16S ribosomal RNA". It matches the Rfam family "Bacterial small subunit ribosomal RNA", at positions 28 to 507 of the family's 1533-position model. The record is from RNAcentral.